UGGGUGAUCUGCCCUGCACUUUGGGAUAAGCCUGGGAAACUGGGUCUAAUACCGAAUACACCCUGCUGGUCGCAUGGCCUGGUGGGGGAAAGCUUUUGCGGUGUGGGAUGGGCCCGCGGCCUAUCAGCUUGUUGGUGAGGUUACGGCUCACCAAGGCGACGACGGGUAGCCGGCCUGAGAGGGUGACCGGCCACACUGGGACUGAGAUACGGCCCAGACUCCUACGGGAGCA
Molecule: ribosomal RNA, 232 nt
Filed under: uncultured bacterium
Lineage: Bacteria
Description: partial 16S ribosomal RNA
Rfam family: Bacterial small subunit ribosomal RNA
Source: RNAcentral